GCUGAUUUGGCCGAGUGGUCUAAGGCGGUGGUCUUAAGCACCAUUAUCGAGAGAUGCGUGAGUUCGAACCUCACAGUCAGCA
Molecule: transfer RNA, 82 nt
Filed under: Blumeria hordei DH14
Lineage: Eukaryota; Fungi; Ascomycota; Leotiomycetes; Helotiales; Erysiphaceae
Also listed under: 3 other names
Description: tRNA-Leu (TAA) (tRNA-Leu-TAA-3-1)
Rfam family: tRNA
About the family: Transfer RNA (tRNA) molecules are approximately 80 nucleotides in length.
Source: RNAcentral